This 514-nucleotide ribosomal RNA is filed under the name uncultured Glomus. Its description in RNAcentral is "SSU rRNA". It matches the Rfam family "Eukaryotic small subunit ribosomal RNA", at positions 569 to 1084 of the family's 1831-position model. The record is from RNAcentral. Lineage: Eukaryota; Fungi; Glomeromycota; Glomeromycetes; Glomerales; Glomeraceae.
AGCAGCCGCGGUAAUUCCAGCUCCAAUAGCGUAUAUUAAAGUUGUUGCAGUUAAAAAGCUCGUAGUUGAAUUUCGGGAUCAGUACGCUGGUCGUGCCUUCGGUAUGUACUGGUGUUACUGGUUCCUACCUUCUGACGAACCGUCAUGUCAUUAAUUUGGUGUGGCGGGGAAUCAGGACCGUUACUUUGAAAAAAUUGAGUGUUUAAAGCAGGCUCGCGCUUGAAUACAUUAGCAUGGAAUAAUGAAAUAGGACGUUUGAUUCUAUUUUGUUGGUUUCUAGGAUCGACGUAAUGAUUAAUAGGGAUAGUUGGGGGCAUUAGUAUUCAAUUGUCAGAGGUGAAAUUCUUGGAUUUAUUGAAGACUAACUACUGCGAAAGCAUUUGCCAAGGAUGUUUUCAUUAAUCAAGAACGAAAGUUAGGGAUCGAAGACGAUCAGAUACCGUCGUAGUCUUAGCCAAUAACUAUAGACCGACUAGGGAUCGGGAUGAUGUUAAUUUUUAUGUACUCAUUCGGC